AGAAGAGAAUGACAAGAGAGGAUCUCACAUUAAAACAAGGUUUCAAACAAUAUUGGCAGGGAUAGUGUUGAAAAGUUUUCCUUUCACUAGUGGGACACAUUCCCCUUUUCUUUUCAAAGAGGAAGAACAUGGUGUCAUCCAAUGUGAAGUGAGCAGUUUCGGGUCAAACUCUUAUGGUAAGAAACUAAAAAAAGAUGCCAAGAGACAAACCUUCAGAAAUAGAAGAAAUGCAAAAGAUGGAAUAAAAACCCCGAUCAUUAAAACAGAGACACCUUCACUGGUGUCCAAUAAGGAUUCUCUUUACAAAACAGAAACAAAAAACUCAAAAAUUUACCAUACUUUGUAAUGAAAAUACCAGUAUGUUGAAGACACAGCAGACUGGGUUUCUAUUAGAACAAGUAUCAGCAAGGUCAUGUAGACUUGUAGAAACUUUUGCCUUCUCCUGCACCAGACAGAUCAUUGUCCAGUUGGGUUGUCAGCUGGAGACUGAUAAGAACCUAAAAAAUGGAUCUUUUUUUUUUUUUCUUUUUCCCAUGGUCACGCAUCCACACAAAUGAGUCUUUUGGAUGAGAAAAGUCACAGCAACUUGAGUUCUCCUAAUGAAUAGAUGACUUUUUAGCCCUGUUUGUUUCAAUGGGGAAAACAAUGACAAAAAAACAAA
This 661-nucleotide non-coding RNA is filed under the name Pan troglodytes (chimpanzee). Lineage: Eukaryota; Metazoa; Chordata; Mammalia; Primates; Hominidae. The record is from RNAcentral.